RNAcentral lists this transfer RNA (73 nucleotides) under Actinomadura graeca. RNAcentral's name for it is "Actinomadura sp. 32-07 tRNA-Leu". It matches the Rfam family "tRNA". Rfam says of the family: Transfer RNA (tRNA) molecules are approximately 80 nucleotides in length. Their secondary structure includes four short double-helical elements and three loops (D, anti-codon, and T loops). Lineage: Bacteria; Bacillati; Actinomycetota; Actinomycetes; Streptosporangiales; Thermomonosporaceae. The record is from RNAcentral.
GCCCCCUUGGCCCAAUGGUAGAGGCGGUCCCCUUAAAAGGGAUUAGUUGUCGGUUCGAAUCCGAUGGGGGGUA